CGUUUACCUCCUGGGUUUGAGGAAUAACGCCCCCGAGGUGUGGGUUGGACAAUGGAAAUCCCCUAGGCAGCCUGUAUACGGGAAGCUGCAUCGACGCGGUGCCUUUUCAGGCCCUUCCCUUGGACCAGCCCAUGUACCUGUUCCAGAUCGGUGAUCAGGUCCUCGUCAAGAAGUGGAAGCGUGACCCCCUUACACCACGGUGGGACGGCCCGCAUACUGUCUUGCUUAUCAGCCAAGCUGCAGUCAAAGUUAUUGGGAGUGACAAAUGGACGCACCAUACGCGGGUAAAACGGUUUCUGAACCCUAACCUAGAAACUGAGUCAGUGGAAGAGGACACCGGCCCUCUGCCCGCCCCGGCUCCGGACGCCCGGGGUGGCACAGGUGAAGACUCCACCUGGGAGUAUGAGUACUUGGACGGACUAAAGGGACUGUUUAGAAAAAGAUAAUGAAAUUAUUGUUAAUAUUUUUGUUUAUGUGCUUCCACCACUAUUAUGGUUGGGAAAAUAGGUUUUUACAGCUGCGGGGGAGACAAUAGCAAAAUCCAUAAACCUCAGUAACUGUUGGGUAUGCGGAGGCCCAGGGGAAUUAAAUGAAUGGCCUUGGGUAGCCCAGCCUGUACAGCCCAAAUGGUGGCUCAGCAAUUUGAGUAUAGUCCACGAUGGAACGGGGGUUUGGACUGAGGAUAGUAGCCCCUGGCGACUGUAUUCUUCUGGAAUGGGUAUUCUCUGCCUUAAUCGGACAAGGCGGGAGGGAGUGUACUUGGGAGAAAGCAAGUGUGAUUGGACUCUAUCCCCAGGAUUUGAUUGUUGGGACCCUUAUUGUCAUCUGUAUGACUGUUCUAAAUAUCAGGGGCAAUGGAACCAGACCCAUGUGAGGCUCACCAAUAAUAGUUGGGUGAAAUGCUCCAAACAAUACUACCCUACGGCCGAAGGUUGCAGGGCGGUAGGACAGGAUGGGUUCUUUGACGCCCUAUUCACGAGUUGCCAGGUAGACAAUACCACUAGCAAGGACCAUGUGGUACGGUGGUUUCAAUGGGCAUGGCAGAAU
Non-coding RNA from Chrysemys picta bellii (western painted turtle), 1047 nucleotides. The record is from RefSeq and is a predicted model, not a curated record. NCBI's taxonomy places the organism in Eukaryota, Metazoa, Chordata, Testudines, Emydidae.